GAUGAACGCUGGCGGCGUGCUUAACACAUGCAAGUCGAACGAAGCAUGGUGGACGGAGUUUUUCGGAAUGAAGGAAAUCAUGACUUAGUGGCGGACGGGUGAGUAACGCGUGGGUAACCUGCCUUAUACAGGGGGAUAACAGUUAGAAAUGACAGCUAAUACCGCAUAAGCACACAGUAUCGCAUGAUACGGUGUGAAAAACCCUGGUGGUAUAAGAUGGGCCCGCGUCUGAUUAGCUAGUUGGUAGGGUAAUGGCCUACCAAGGCGACGAUCAGUAGCCGGCUUGAGAGAGUGGACGGCCACAUUGGGACUGAGACACGGCCCAAACUCCUACGGGUGGCAG
Molecule: ribosomal RNA, 343 nt
Filed under: uncultured Bacillota bacterium
Lineage: Bacteria; Bacillati; Bacillota
Description: bacterial SSU rRNA
Rfam family: Bacterial small subunit ribosomal RNA
Source: RNAcentral